CAAAAACAUUUCCUAAAGUUACACCAUUUUAGGUACUCCCUGCCCAGUGAAUUAACUUAAACGGCCGCGGAAACCCGUGCAAAGGUAGCAUAAUCAUUUGCCCCUUAAUUAGGGGCUAGAAUGAAUGGAUUAACGAGAAAUUCCCUGUCUCUUAUUCACAAAUAAAAACUAUCCUCUAUGUGAAAAGACAUAGCUAACUCUAGAAGACAAGAAGACCCUACUGCACUUUAUUAUACUUGAUCGUUUUAACUAUCUCCCUAAUUUAGUUGGGGCGACACCGGAUACUCUCCCAUCCGACUUGUUAAAGGACCACACUCCUACUUAAUUGACCCUUUUAAGAUUUAAGGACAAGCCACCAUAGGGAUAACAGGCUAAUCCCCUCAUAGAGCCCUUAUCGACGAGGGGGGUUGGCACCUCGAUGUUGGCUUAGGGUAUCAUAUAGGUGUAGCCGCCUAUAAAUGAAGGUUUGUUCAACCUACUAAACCCUACGUGAUCUGAGU
This 500-nucleotide ribosomal RNA is filed under the name Alomasoma belyaevi. RNAcentral's name for it is "partial 16S rRNA". It matches the Rfam family "Bacterial large subunit ribosomal RNA", at positions 1808 to 2610 of the family's 2925-position model. The record is from RNAcentral. Lineage: Eukaryota; Metazoa; Annelida; Polychaeta; Echiuroidea; Bonelliidae.